Long non-coding RNA from Phascolarctos cinereus (koala), 2163 nucleotides. The record is from Ensembl. NCBI's taxonomy places the organism in Eukaryota, Metazoa, Chordata, Mammalia, Diprotodontia, Phascolarctidae.
UUGCAUCCUGACCAUCACUCAGUGUGUUGGCUAUCUUUCCCAGCUUUGUGUUUUCUGCCCAUUUGAUUAGUGUGCCAUCUUUAUUCAAGUUAUCGAUAAAAUGUCAAAUCACCUCCAGCCUACGCAUAAAUUCUGUCAGGGAGGGGGAAAAUCACUCCCUGCUAAGAAGUCUAUUCCACUUUUGACCUCCUGCUCCAGCCUUGUUGCCAUCAGGGGGAGUCUAAACCUGACUUCUUCAUUUGAGGAUUCUCCUGCCCCUUCCCCACAUUCUCAGAGCCUAGCUCUAAUGACUCCAGGCCCCAGCUGUCAGCUCAUGCUGGCAUAAGACCAUCCCAUAUAAUAUAGGAUCAGGUUUCUUUCCAUGAGUGGGCAGCUAUUUCCCCUAGGACCUUCGGAGACUCAUUUGAAUGAGUAGAAAUGCUUGUCCCUAAUAUUUCCUAUCCAUCCUUGCAGGCCAGGAACUUUACCCUGGAAAUGCCCAAAUCAGGAGGUAUAGCCCCAAAGGAACCUCCACAGGAGCCCAUCCUCUUCACUGGGGGCAGGAUCAUUGUAAAAGGGAGUCCUGAGCCGCUGAGCCUUCAGGAAUUGAGCCUUGCCGCCUGUCUGCCACUUAAUGGGAGGCUACAGAGACCCAAACAGCGGAAAGCAUCAGUGUCAGAGUGAUCACAUUACCCGGGCUUGGCGUCCUCUACCAUGUCGAGGAGGAACAGCGAUUCUUGUUUUCAGAAGAGGAGCCGAGGGAAGAGGAUGACGACGAAAAAUCUUCCAACCCAUCAUGAGGCGGCGAGGAAGAUGAGAGGCUUUGGCUGCCAAAUCAGGAGGCCUGGGCCCCAGUCCUGGUGCAGCCACUUGUAGAUAGCCUGGGGGACCUUGGCCAAGGCUGUUCUAUUUCUCUGGGUCUUAGUUUACUCACCUGUGAAAUGAGGGGGUUGGGGAGUAAGGUGCCUCGGAAAGAGGACCUGGGUUUAAAUCUUGUGUCUGUCGUUUACUUCCUGUGUGACCUUGGAGAGUUUAUUACUUGUCUCUGGGCCUCAGUUUCCUUUUCUGUGGAACGAGGGGCAAAGCCAUUUUACAUGCAUUAUCUCAUUUGAGCCCCAUGAUAGAGUCUAUGAUGUGGGUGUUACAAACGGUAUUAUCUCCAUUUUGCAUAUGAGGAGACUGAGCAUAGAUGUCAGAAGCGGUAUUUGAAUCCAGGUCUUCCUGACUCCCAGGCCACCACUCCAUACAUUCUGCCGUGAUGCUGGAAUGGGCCAACUUUAGGUGGGGAAGGAGAGAGGGGAGUGGAAUGAGAUUUGGGAGGAGGGAGGACUAGCUUUGGGGAAAGCAUAUGCCAUGAAUCCAAUCCUGUGAAUUAUUCAGAAGUGCUGAGAGCUGACUCACUCCACAGUCUGGUUUCUUCUGAAAACUGGCCAAAGAUCUCUGACAGUAACAGCUCUGCUCCUGCCUGACUCUGUCUCUGUGAUUUUGCCUCUCUCUCACUCUCUCUCUCUCUGUCUUCUCUCUGUCUCUGUCUCUCUCUUUUCUCUUUCUGUCUUCUCUCUGUCUUUGUCUCUCUCUCUUUUCUCUCUCUCUCUGUCUUCUCUCUGCCUCUGUCUCUCUGUCUCUGUCUUCUCUCUCUCUUGUCUUCUCUCUGUCUCAUCUCCCUUUCUCUGUUCCCUUCAGUUAAUCUUUCACUUUUUUAUUCUUGUUACUCUCUAGAUUUCUGGUCCUCUUUCCCAUCCUGUCUCUCUUUUCUGUCUCUAUCUCUGAGUCUUUGUUCUCAGUCUCUCUCUUUGAGUUUCAUUCUAUCUCUGUGAAAUGGUCUGAGAAGAAGUCUCUUCACAGUUUUUCUCAGGCUCUGGGCACAUCUAACUUCUGACUCUCUAUCUUCCUCCUUCCUCCCUCCAUUAAGAAUUAUUGUCUAGGGGCUGCAGAGCAAAGUGACAAGGUGCUCAAGGUCCUUACCUUAUAUUAAAUGUGGCCUUUCCAACCUCCUGCUGUAUAGGACCAGGACCUAGGCACAAUUAGGCACAAACUGAAGCUCUCUCUUUGGGUGCUACUAGGCAUUCCCCAAAGGAAAGGGACCAGACACUCUACAGUAGGGCCUAGCUAGGCCUGGAGAUAGACCUAUGUUUCUCUAUAUUUUCCAAAAUGCUUUGAAAUAAACCAUUAUGUAAGAUCCUC